CGCGGGAUGGAGCAGUCUGGUAGCUCGUCGGGCUCAUAACCCGAAGGUCGUUGGUUCAAAUCCAGCCCCCGCAACCA
RNAcentral lists this transfer RNA (77 nucleotides) under Pseudomonas aeruginosa. Its description in RNAcentral is "tRNA-Met". It matches the Rfam family "tRNA". Rfam says of the family: Transfer RNA (tRNA) molecules are approximately 80 nucleotides in length. Their secondary structure includes four short double-helical elements and three loops (D, anti-codon, and T loops). The record is from RNAcentral. RNAcentral also lists the same sequence under 4 other names. Lineage: Bacteria; Pseudomonadati; Pseudomonadota; Gammaproteobacteria; Pseudomonadales; Pseudomonadaceae.